Molecule: long non-coding RNA, 15159 nt
Organism: Gasterosteus aculeatus aculeatus (three-spined stickleback)
Lineage: Eukaryota; Metazoa; Chordata; Actinopteri; Perciformes; Gasterosteidae
Source: Ensembl
UUCAUUUUUUAUGGCUCUUUGGGGUAAGGAUGAACAAUUAAGAAUAGCAAUUGCAGAUAUUUUGGCUUUUGAGUUUUGGAAUUGAGUUGUGAUUUGCAAUAUUUUAGGGGAUGAUUAAAUCAUUAUUCUUUUUCUUUCAUUUUUAUUGGAAAGUGUAUAAAAAACAAUGUGUGAUUUUUGCUUUUAUCUGUACCCAUCAAGUUUUCUUUUUUAUACGGUCAAUAUAUUAUGAUGUGUAGGCCAUGGCAUGCUUGCAGAAGGGUUAUAUUUGAUUUAAAAUGAGAUUUUUACACAUUUUUCCCUUAACAAAUAUCACACCUCCUGCACUGUCAAGGUUUCCGUCGGCCGUAUUGGGAUUCUGAUGGAAUUUAGAUUGAUUGUGCAGCCCUAGUUCAGGGGCAUGUUGUGCAAUACAUAAUAAUACAGUUUGUUUCCAGGUUUUUGUUUCCAUUACGUAGUGACAUCACCUCAGCCCCCCGCAAGACGAGACCGUGUACCUGUUAUCUGGAAAUAAUAUGUUUGCAGGUUCUUUGGGCCGGUCUUAUUCAAUUAGGCGGAUGUUGCACCGUCGACCAGUAUAUACUUUGUUGACGUCUCUCUAUAUUCCGUCAAUAUUUCAGUUUGACUGAACUUGAUCAGUCGCAUGUCGUCACAGUUCCUCCUGGUAGGCUCCUAUUGAGUCAUCACAUGCUCUGUUUACCGCAUCCGCUGCACCCGCUCAUCUGCCAAUUCUGGCAGCCGGUCCGUCAUUCUCUCAACCUCGCCAUCUAACCCCCUCCCCCCCCACCCCACCUUCCACUCCUUCCACCUCAGCAGCAUCUCCCCUCUUUCAAGUCUCUUGUCACUCAAAGGCAGAGCCACAGCCGGACUGAAUCUAAAACAACACUUAAGUCCCGAUACACAAUUUAUUUUUUGUCCUAUUUGUCCUCCUCGUCCGGCUCUUAAGUUGGUCAUACAGCGAUGUCCUCCUAAUGGAAAAAAAAAAAAAAAACACCUGUGGUUUACCAGAAUGCAGCAGAGGCAAAGAUGGAAAUCAUUUUGGGUAAAGAAAAGGGCCGUACACAUCUGCGUACAUAUUCAAUACUCCCUCGUCCGUCCUUGUCUGCAGUGCAGAUAAAGAUGUCAUUGUACACGCGGGGGGCAAAGAGGACGUUUUCUAUAACUCCGUUUUCUGUACAUGUUCCUAGAUGAAAGCUGCUCCCAUGGCGGGUCCACAGCAGUCGGCAAAAACGUGGCCUCCCCUGCACGUGUUCGCCAUGCCUUUGACACUGUGCUGUGGAUUCUUCUCCAUGGCAACCGUCCAGAGGAGAGCGGGGGGGAAAAAGUGGGUGAUUUUUAAACUCCCUCUCUUCCUUUCUCACUCUCACCAAAGCCGGCACUAAUCACAUUUUGCGAGAGCUUGAGGAUCGAGUUUUUGUGUUACUUCAAUGUCAUCAGCAGAGAUUUGGAGCAGCGAAACCAUUACUGGAUUGAAAAAAAAGUGGUAUAUUAUUUAUAUUCAUAAAGCAGCAUUCUAUGGGGACCUGUAACUCGGCUUAUGAUUUGCAUCAUUUUUCCGCUCUACAGUUUAACUGCAUUUAUUACACGUUUACACUGGUCCAUUAACUAAGCUGAUGAUUAUUAUAUUACUUAGGCUAUAAAUGCACAACUUUAUUGCUCCAGAUACAACAUUUAUACCAUGUAACGAGAUUCUAUUCAUUCUUAAUAGCUUAAAGAAGCUGCUUGGAGAUAAUACAAAGUUUAUCCCUGCUGAUAAUGCACUGUUAUGCUUCGGCUAGCGUCGAUCCUUCCACGCACAUUAGGACAUAAUGUUGCCCAACAGUUAAGUGAUUUAUGAACGGGAUUAGUCAGUCAGCGUCGUAGAUUAUCAGCUUCUUAAGAAUGACGCAGACGAGAUCUCCCCCACGAUGAGCGCUUAAUGUUAAUGUAAUAAUGGGGGGAGAAGGGGACGUCAGUUGUGCAUGCUAAGAUGUCCAUCAUUGAUUUUACAGCUGUCUAAGGAUGGAAGGGUAUUUUAUGCCUCCAGAGUGCACGCUGCAUGCAGGAGUCCCUUGACUCAAAUAUAGAUCGUCUCCUUCAGAGUGCGCUUGGAUGUUUCUGCCUCUGUCUUCACUUUUGGUUUCGUGGUGUGUCAGCUCUUCAUCUGUGGAGCUUUGGUGUGACAGAGUGUCAUAUAUAUAUAUAUAUAUAUAUAUAUACACACACACGUAUAUGUUAUUGACUUGCAGAAUACAAGCACCUAAGAAACGUAACUCCAAUGUAGUGAUGGAAUAAUAUUUCUUCCCACCACUUAGUUAGUUACUGUAAUACUAAGCCCAUAGUUAUGUACUGUAACUAUAUAAUGAAUCAUUGGGGAGCCGAUAAGGCAACGUGACUCCUCAGAUACCAGCUGCCUGCGGUGCUUUUACCCGGCCUGCUGGUUCUGGACACUCGUCAGGAAACGCGGCUCAGUUCUGGCCGGCUGGCUCGCCGUCUGUGUAAUAGGUCCUUGUCAAAAGUUUACAGAGCUUCAGCAGUUGGCGGAGGAGCCCGGGGCUGCGAUUGGCGUGCAGAGGAGGGUUCUGAUGAGCUGUGAGAGCCCAGUGGCUCGACAGCCGCCGUCCCGUUCUCAUUCGCUUUCCAUUGUCGAGAGUGUCUGCACGUGUUCCUGUUCCUCAGCGCCACAUUUGAUACGUUGAAAUCAUUUUGUUAUUAGCUUUCAUCUGUUUACAACGCGUCGUUUAGAUUCACAAUUAUCAGUUUCGAGGCAGGAUGGUGCCUCCAGGAGGGAGUUGGAGGUCGUUAUCCGCCUUUUUUGAGUUUCAGAUCUUAAUCCUGUUCACAGCUGAGCGGCCAGGCCAUUCAGAGAAUUGUCUUUUAAACAGCUUAACUUGUUUGUAACAGACAUGUAUCUCUAUGUGAUGUCAUUUGAGGUGUUAAUGUUAGGAAGUUAAACAGAUAAUUGUUCUCUAAAGUGUAUUUUAUUCUACUGGGAAAAACCUCAAACAAAUGCGUUGAUUGUUUUGUGCCAAAUACCAAAUUUUCCCAAAUUACAUUUGAACCCAGAUGAGCUUGUCUCAAACCGGUGGGCCGGUCAUGUUAAAUGCGAGAGCAAACGGGCCAAUUCACUGGAAAGCUAAUCGAUCUGCAUCUCUGGUCUCUGCUGGUCUUCAAACCUACCGGGUUCCACGUCUCAGACCUUCCACCCACACCACAAAUGUACAGGAAGAACAGCCCACGUUGAGAUGCUCUACCCUGCAGUCUACGACCAUUCAUGAAGUGGAUACAAAGGUGUAGCUUAUAUGGAUUUCUCUAGCUUAGAAAAAUGAGCGAUUGUGUGUGUAUUGUAUUCGAGCAACACAGAAUUGCUUCCUCUUUACUGGAAUUUGUUUUUCUCCUGAUGUGGCCGGGCGCUGAUCAGUUGUAAAGUUGUACGGAUCUGCAGGCGUGUAAUAAAGGGGUAGUGACACUAAACAUUUGUUGAGUUGAAAACCACAAUCAUUUUCACAGAAGGGCUGCUGCCAUUAGUUUAGGGAUCACAAUGGGUAACUGGAAACAGUUGGUUGAUUGAUCAAAAAAGAUAAAUUGAUAAUUGAUGUUUUUCAGCUUUUCUGUGUCGUAUUUGAAACAAAUGUGUGGUCAGAAAAAAAGCUGGUUUGACUCGUGGAUGUUGUUAUGGUUCUUUCUGCGAUAUUGUUGUUAAUAAGUUAUGAAUAAAGGUGGUGCUCCAGCUACUUUGUGAUGCAGCUGUAAAAACAUCUGCCCAUGAGGAGACUGAUUUCCUUGUGCUAAAGUGUGAAUGUAAGGCGGUUUGUAAUAAGUCAACUCCGAGCGGAGGAGUUGCGGUAUCCUUGGAGAACCGCUGCCUAAUGAAGGAAGUGAUUUAAUAUUAAAUGAAGAGCCAAACAGAAGUUGACAGUGAAUAAUAUCACAAACCCCCUUGAAACAAAAAACCUUUUGAGAUGAACUGAACACAGAUUAAAGCAUCACAAUAUUAACAGGCCUCUCGGUCAAUAUCCCUUCAAACACAGUGUUGAAAACUCCUCAUGUUGUUCAGCACUUAAACACAAGAUUAAACCGCUCUAAUACACCAGUGAAAUAAUAUAUAAACUGGAAAUACACUGAUUCAAACAGACAGCUAGAAUGGCUCUUUUCAUUUUAAAGGAUACACCAAACGUAUGAUGAUGUUUCAGUUUGCAUACAGUUCCUAAAUGAUCAGUUAGUGUCACUGUUGCUGUUUCAUUUUGUUUUUGACAAAUCCGUGAAUUGUCCUUUUCCCUUUUCUUAUCCUUUUAUUGUUCUAUUCAUAUUUUUGUAAUUGCAAGAUUAACAUCAUUGGUAAUCAUGUCGACCAACAAACAAUAAUUGCUUUCAGUCAGCCGUAAAAUUCCACAUCACCGCUUCUUUAUCUCAAUUAUAUGCUCAACAUGUUGUACGUUUUUCUUUUCCACACGGCUCUUUCUCACCGAAUGCUUGUCGGUAUCAGAGUGUAUCUGAGCGUGGGCGCAGAUCCAACAUUGCAACAUUUCAUCCUGGCUCCUAUCUACUACCCAGCCAUCUAAAUGUUAGCGGCAUUACAGUCGGGGGACUGAAGCAAAGGGCCACAUUAGUCUGUGCGCUGCGGAGACUAACAGCAUCGUGCAACAAAGGCCGUUGGACACACGGCCAGCGUGAAAAAGCAAUGAAACAUCAAAGCGGUGCCGCUGAUUGUUCGCAGCGGAGGGAAGAGAUACGGCGGCGAUGCUGCGUCUCCCUCUAAAGCUCUCCAUCCGGUAAAUUACGCUUAGGUGUUCACUUUUCCUUGUUGACACGGGGCGGAAGCACAGCGGCGUCCUCGUUAAGGCACAGUGGGUAACAUGACACUCUGGUCCAUGCGCUCGAAUAAUGAUGUGACCGUCUGUGUUUUUUUGAUUUUUUUUUAUGGAUAAUCACGCAGCGCCUCACAUAACGGCUUUACAUUCGGUAACGGGGCGAAUGAAAAUGACAAUUGAAGGUGCAAGUUGAUUGGAGGGAGGUGAUGGCAGUAUUGUCCUCGCUCCUGUUUACAGCAUUUAUUAAUUAUUUUAUUUUAGGUAAAUGAAUGAAUCAGAUCGCCGGAUCCCAUGGCUUUUCUUCCCUCCGCUUGCACAGCAGCUUGAUUCUCGGCGAAGAGCUGCAGGCCGCCGCCGGGCAGCUCCGGGCGCCGCUUAGGCGCGUGCGAGACGACACGGGAGAGGCCGAUCGUCUUUUUUCAAAACAACAAUGCCGUCUGCCCCCUCCCACCCCCCCCCCCCCGCUAGAGAUCAGGGUCAGGGCCGACUCGGAUGCUGCAACAGCUUCGGUUCCAUCUGCAUUUCCUCGUUGAAAGAAGAGCAGAGAGGCGCACUGAAGAAGCCAUCUGGUUGAAUAAGUGCACGCCCGUCUCAAGCUUUCCUACGAGAGGAGCUUCUGUUUUAUUCAAUGCAAAGCCUGUUGCUGUUCCAUUUCGUCUUGUUUAUUAGUAUUUCAGUUUUUUCUUUUAAUUAAUUUUUUAUUCGUGCCCUAGCAGUACCUCGGUGCUGGUGCCGUCUGGACCCCACACUGCCCUGUGGGACCCUCCCGGGCGUCUUGCAGCCUGCUCCAGCAUCCCUGGCUGCUGCUACUCAGAGCCCAAGGCAUUCAGUCGGAUGUGUCGAUGAAGCUCCGGGUAAAGGCAAACAAAGAGGCCACACAGGAGCCUUUUUCCCACAGCUAUUAUAGACUGUGCUGUGUGCGACUGUUCUCCCUCCGUAUGUGUUCGGGUGGGUGCGGAGGAUGGAGGGGGAUGCUAACAGGAGUGUCUGAGGGUUUGUCUUUUAUAAUCGGUAAGACACUGUGCUUGAGAGCUUGCAGAAUUAGUCGGGUGCACGUUCUGUCUUUUCUGUUCAUGCCACAUUAAUAACUUGCCAAGACACAUUUAAAUGCACGCAUGCAUGCAAAUGAAUUGGAACCCGUGGAAUCUUUUGAGAGGUGUUUCAUAUUUCAUCAGUCAGUAGUUGAAUACUAUUGAUGAGACUGUCAACAAUUGGACAGGCGCAUAAGUUGAUGCAGAGACGGCUGAUCUGUUUUUCUUACACCGCGAGGCAUCCGAAGCUUGUUAAAAGUAAUGCAUGCACUGUUUGUUAUUGGGAUAUUAGGGAUUUGCACUAAAAAGACACAGAGCCACAAGCCAAUUCACUCCUGUAUGCUCUGUAAGCAAGGACAGUUUAUUUUUCCAACCGUGUAAAUGUCUGUAUAUAAUCGUUGUGAGUUUUUAGCAGAUGAAAGGUAAGCUCAAGAAUAGUUUCUUGGCUAAUAACAAACCAGCGCUGUGCGUUGGACGCACAUUUGAUUUCAGAGCCGGCCCUUUGUAAACACACAAGUGUCAUUUGUUUCUUUAUUUUCCGCCCAUAUGUUACUGGCAACCUGCUUUCCACUGAACAUCCAAAAGCACUUAGAAGAAUAGAGAACCAUAGUUAUUAUUUUAAUCAUUGUUACACAACAAUGCCAGUUCCUCUCACACACACACACACACACACACACAGAGUCACAUAUUCUUUAAAUUACAGUCCGUUGAAGUCCACGCUCUCAUGCGACAUGAGACGGUGUCCUGGCGCGCAGAUGAGACCGUUUCAGGUGAGCAGGUGAGCCGCUGCUUUUUAAGUGUAGUGCAUCCGGCUGUCCGGCUAAGAUGGACUGCUCCCUCCAGACGAGGUAAAGCGGACUCGGUGUUCCCUCGUAUGAUAGAUGUGCUCAUUUGCAUGCCAGGCUGUCGGUUUCAACACUGCCAGGCCUCCUUCGUCUUUCUUCGUCGUACUACAUUGGGGUUAGGGGACGCCAUACGCCUUAAUCCACUACUUAUAGCCCGUGGUCCUUAUUCAGUCUGCUCAAAAAUAUGAUCUGUUGUCACGGGACAAGUAGCCCGGACAAACAGAACAUGUAUUGUGAUCAAUGACUCGAUGGCGGGUCGUCCAUGCAGUUUGUAUUUUUAAAGUUUGUAUGUAUUGUCUACAAUGUAAUGGAUAUAAAGCAUGCACUUUAAUAUAGACAAAUGCUACAUUGUUUCCUCUGCAGCAGGGCGCUCUAGUUGAGGAAGGAAAGGAAAAGAGGCUCAAUGCUCCAGCAGCAGGCUGUAAACUCUCUUCUUGCAGGAGGUGACGUAGCCCCACGAAUAUAUUUAUGCUAGGCCAUUAUCAUUGGAUUAUAAUUAUUGAUGCAUUGAUGUGUGAUUCACUUGAAUACAGCCACCUUCACCAACCUUAACUUCAUACAUAACGAUGACUGUGUACUAGUAUUUGAUAAUACAUCAUAUCUGUAUUAGUUGAUUAGUUACAAACAGCAGAAGACAUGUAAUAUACAUCUCAAAAUAAAAUAGAAUUUAUAAAUACAUUUAUAAAAGUUUUUAAAAAGUCGAGGAAUUCAAAAUCAAAAUCAAACAAAAAAUCAAAAAACACUUUUUAUGUUGUGUAUUCUCUUUUUAACAUCACAUAGAUCACAGCGCGUUUAAAGCUUCUGCAUUCUGGCUUCUUUGUGUGUUGCACAUUACGUUUCUCCUCUGAAACGGUCACUCUUUAAACCACUAUUGAAACUAAAAAUAAUCUGUUCUCUGGGGUCCAACCUAAUACUACUCACGAACCUUUAUUCAAUUAUGAAAUGCAAAUGUUGAUGAUUUAAAUCAAUCAUCAAUAAAAAACAAAGAAAAACAAGAGACUAAUAACAUGAGGGAAUAUUGAAGUCAUUUGCUGGGCUCUCAUUUUGUUCUGAAGUAGUUAAGUGGGAAAAAACAACAACUUUUACUUUACAAAUCAUCGAUCCUGUUUCAACAAUCUCUUAAAAUAGAACCAAUAGCUAAAUGCCGUAUUUCUUCCUAACUUUCCGUGCGUUCUGUCUUUGCAGUAAACGGAGCGCUGUGUGUGUCACUGCUGACUUUUGGAGACGGAGAGAAAUAUUCAUGACGGAAUUCAUGAUUUCUUUUUUUUUUUUUUCGAACACCGAUGUUGCCACACACAUUCGCCAGUGAUGAAAUGACAACUGACUUCCAACAUCUGCGACAGCCAUCUGCGUUACCCCGACGCCGGCCUCUCCGUUGGUCCUCCAUAUGCUCGCAGCUCUUCCUGAGAGGGAGCCGUCGCAGUCUCCGAUGCGACUUCGGCUGCCGCGGCGGGAACUUAACGAGCUCCCAGCCCUCAUCGACGGCGGCUGACAGGCAGUUUUUUUGUUGAUCACAGACUCGAGUCCCACCGGUGAGCACUGCCUCCUCCCGCUCAUGAAUACUCAUAGGCGUUAAUGCAGUAAAAACCACCAAACGGGUUCCGUCAUUCAGACACCUCCAGGUGUUUUUUGGGGGAGGAAUGGUUAAAAAUAGCUUCGUCGGGAAGCGAGUGAUGGGCUUUUGGGUGUAUUUAAAUAUUGAAACUCAAUUAAUGUCUGUUCUCUGGAGGCCGUGUGAUGUGUUGGUUUUGUCUGCUAAUCCGCCAAUUGAGGAUCCAUUUGAGCGCAAGUUAGGAGAAUGUAGAGUGCAUUAGGGAGUCCUGGUUGAUGAAACCUGUUAUUUGUGUUUGCGGCGUGAUGUGCACGCAGCGCCGCGGCUGCGGGAAGAGACGGGGGGGACUUAAGAAAAACGUCGAGAGAUUAGCCUCAUGUCGAAACCUCUCAUUAUUCAUUCUUCCUCCUGUCAAUGUGAAGUAUUACUGCCUCUGCCAGACUUGACACGCUCCCACCAAAACCCACAAGGGACCUUUCGUUUGGCUGCCGCUCCCUUCCCGCUGCUGUUAAAUGGCUCAUUAGUACGGCUAAGAUGUCACGUACUGAAGGACGAAUGCACGGCCUCUGCAGCCGUACCUGUGCCGUCACUUGAAUGAAGAACGCAGAGUGUAUUUGACGAUGAUGUCAGAGGGAUGGAUGCCGUUUGGAGCUCUGAUCCCCACUGAAGGUUUUUGGAGCUGGGAAGGUUUCCUGGGUCGGUGUCCAGCCUUCAGCCUGCGUCAUUUUACACCACAUAGACAAGCGUGUGAUACUUAUACUGAAGCUUAGAUUCAUUCCAACAACCUUCUUCAUGGAUCUAGCCUCGUUUGGCUGUUUCUUCACAUUCCUCCACUACUUUCCAGCUGUACAUUUUACACGUGUGUUUUACAUAUGUUGUGGUCAACGUGGCAUGAAAUGGGUUUAUAUGGUAAUUUAGAUUUGGCCUUGACUCAUUUUCUGUGUGUUUUUCAAAAGUGCUCUCAAUAUGUUUUGAAUAUGGAUUCGUGUUUGCGCCCAUGAAAAGUAAUUUUGUCACAGCGUUAAAAGUAAAGUGAAAAUAAAUAAAGCGAGAUGUGUGGGAAUGUGUUUCCGCUUGAAAUUGCGUCACCGUCACUGAAUGCAUCUGCAAUGCAGAAACUCUCAUUGGCAUAUUUGUCUUUGAAAAUAGGAAGUUGUUGCAAAACUUUGCACAUCGUCCUUUCGCCCACUUCUCUUCCCUAUUAUUUCAGUGUGCGUGUGUGUGUGUAUGUGUGUGUUAUGUGUGUGCGUUCCACUUUCUCUCAUCCUGUCGUUCUCUGCCAUCAGUUUAGAGGAAGAAAUAGAUUGUCUCCUUGCUCCCAUAAUCAAUUUGUGUCAGCGCAACAGCUUUUCUCUCUGGAAGUGCCAAUGCUGGAAGGACACUUGGUAUUCACAAAAUGAAAUAACGGGCCACCAUGAAUUCUGCAGAGAGGCUCCGUCUGUUUCACUUCUGUUUAGGGAGAUCACCAAUAGAUGACUCCGGAUAGCAUCUUUCCCAAACUGCUGUGUGACCUCCCUCCUCUUGUUCCUCUGUUUCAAACCCGACGUCUCCGGUGGUCUGUGAUAAAUCUCUACGCGGCGUGUUACUUCGUGUGCCACAGUUUCCAGCAUGUUCUCCCCGUAUACAGUGGUAGUAACGGUGCGAUAUUUCCUCUCAUUUAAAAAAAACGACACACUAUGUUUUCUUCUUCCGUUUUUCGUCGUAAGGCAGAGAAGAGCAUCGAGGGAGAUGCGUGGCCGUGCAGUGCGCUAAGUCAUUGAAAUUCGAGAGGAGAGUGGGGGAGAAAAACGAGGCUAAUUUUUCAAGAGCAGGUUCACAAGCACCGUGCCAUUUGUAAGAACCUGUUCACAUGAAUACACACGAAAGAAACGUUAACUCUGCUGACAGGCUAUUAAUAAAGGGCCCCGCUGUGUGAUUUAGAGGCAGGACGGGGGGGGGGCAAGGGAGGGGCCCAGCGAGGAGGAGCCUUAUCGCGGGGUAACGCACGCCUUUUGGGGCCCCUUCGGCUCCCUCCGUUUGAUUCGGACCUCAAUUUAUCACGAGCGGCGCACACCGAGGGGCGGGGGGGGGAUCAGCCGGCUGAUCUCGGAUCAGUGAAACAAAGCUGCACCGGUGACAUUCGGAUCGAUUUAUAUCCUCACGCGACUCAUUGAGGCGCACCGGAUCUGCCUGGUCGGGGACUAAGUCGGAUUAACGGGCCGAGGUAAACCGAGGGGCCCGAUGAGCUGAGCUGCCUGUUCUGAUGAUUAAGUGGCACUUUCUUUUGUAGAGACGUUCAUGAUGGCAUUUUGACUCAUCGUAGUAGGAAAUGUUUCAUUCAUUCAAUGGCUACAUUGAUAGCCAUUGAUGUUUGCAUUAAUAGCUUUUUUAGAUUUAUGCUUGUUGUCUGUUGACAUUGGUAUUUUUUGUUUAUUCCUACUUACUGACCGUAGUAGCAACCUGUAAAUGCCUCAUUGGCUUUAAUAGUAUAUUACCUUUUUAUAGAUAUUGACACAUUGGAAAAGCAACAUUAGCACUGAUUUGAAUUUCUCAAUCAACCUCUCGAUUGUACGUUCAAUAUUUACAACCCUUGUAAGCUGAGGACACUUUUAAGGGAAAUGUCUUUAGCUGCUUAACAGUUCACUACGUUUGCCGGCUGGCCACAUGUUUUCCUGCUGCUGGGCAGGAGGCGAACAGUCAGGUUUGUUUUUUUGUUUUGCUGGAACGCACCACCCACUGUGUGUGAAAUGAUGGCAGUGUGAGGGAUCAGAGUGAUCCAAAACAAUGAAGUUUGUGCUGCAAAAAUAAAACAAUGAGCCGAAGGGUAUUUUAGGUGUGGUGAGAAUUCACUCUGGGUUCAUCAACCCGAGGGACUUUUCCAUACGUGUCAUUUUCUUCUCCUUUGUUGAAGGCAGGGUUUGUAAUCUUCUUAACAGUGUUUUUUGUUGAAAUUCUCAUUUAAUGAAAUUACUGGACAAACAAAAGAGAAGAAGCUGCUUGGCUAAUGUCACUGAGUUCCAACAAAGGCCGUGAUCGUGGCUCCUGCUCCAAACUGUAUUUUUGGGGGCCUUCGGAGGGCCGGGCUGCUGGGUUGGCAACCUUAACGUAAACUUUCUUGCGAAAUUUAAAAAAUUAGUUCUGCUAUCUACUUUCAUUCAGACUGGUUUGUUGUUUUGCUUUUCAUAUUACAUUUUCUAACUCUAGGAUUUGAUUAACUGUGUAAUGCUGUAAAAAAAACAACAACACUAAAGCCUGAAAGCAUAGAAUAAUCUGGAGUAGGAUAAAUAAAUAUCCUUUGAAAGGCGCCCGCGGUGGUGCCUGCAAUCAGCAGGUCUGAAACACUGCGCCAUUGAGGCACUGUUGAUGCUCCGAGCUGUUAGUUUAUUAAGCAGGGAAAAGGCCUGAUGUUCACCGCUCACCGCCCCAAACACUGCUCUGUGUAACCUGCUGUGUCUCCUGUUUUUCCCCACUGACCCACAAGAGCAGUGCGUGCGCACAAUCUCCGGUGUGCUUUUAGUUACGUGCGAUUAGGAGACGAAGGAGCGCUUGUUUUCCUCUCCCCGCUCGCGCUGUGUGUAGUGAAGAUGUCUGAUGACUCGCCAUGAGGAUCACGAGUGAAACGCCACACAGGGGGUCUUUUGUUAAAAGGAAACCUACUUAGUUGCUGCAAUUUGUAUUAAAAUGAUCCCUUUUUUGCUGUUAUUUCAGGGUAAACAUCAUGUAAAUACGAGGGCAUGAAAUGAAUCUUUAACAUUACUGUACAUACCUCGAAGCAAUAAGCAACGGGGCAGAAAUAAUGUGCUGCGCCGCAUUUCCAUACGGAGAGGGAGGCGGGAGGCAACUAAGAAUUUAGUUUGGGGAUUGGUGGGUGUGGGGGGGGGAGAUAAGUUCAAAGCCACAUGGAAUGUGCACAGCAAUCCGUUACACUGUCACGGCGGGGAAAAAGAUUGCGGGCCCAUUCUCACCAGGGGAAUGUGCCAAUUAUUAGAUAAUGUACAGAGCACGCCGUCGUGGAUUAAAGCCCUGCAAGUCAGGAUGCUCUUCAAAUGAAGAUGGCUUGAUUAGCCUCCACUCAGCUCCUGCAACCACUGUGUGGAGUUUCAACGGGGGGGGAUUUCAGGCCCUCCGCUCGGCUUUGUUUGGGACUCGCGCACAAGAAAAUGCAUUGUCAGAAUCGGGAGUGCUUUGAAGUUUAGUACGGCAAGAAUGUUGUCGUUUAUUCUGACAAAUCCUGGCUCUAUAUUUAAGGGGAGGGAAAGUACAACCAGGCCAAAUGUUUCUAACUUGGAUGCUUAAAUUACUGGUACCAGUUAUUAAAAAAAGAUCUGUCAAAGCCCCUUAGAAGCUCAAUGUCACCUUGCUCUCAGGGGCAUUCCUCAGGGCUGAAACCAACUUUUGAUUUUUGUCUGUUGCAUCUAUCAACCAUUUAAUCUAUAAAAUGCCCAAAAUAAUGAAACACCUUUAACUUCUGUCACAAAUAAACCCGUAUCAUCGUGGAAAAGCUCUAAAUAGGCGCUGAUGUUCAAGGACUUUUCUCCCUUUCGGCUGAAAUAAAAAAAAAUAGCCAACAUCACUGUGGCCCAAAUCUCCUGCAAAGUUUAAAGCCUUUCCUAUUCAUCAGCAUCGCCUCCAAAAGGUAAAUCAAUCAUCUGACACCUGCAUCACACCCGUACACUUGUUUUCAUCAUGUGAGAUAUUCACCCAGACUUUACCUCCUUGAUGAAAAACUAAAAACGACUGUUCUCUGCGGGAAAGAAAUCUUUUAGUGACAAAGCCCAGAAAAAACCUUUGUCCCGCAUUCUGUGAUCGCGAGCCAACGGUUUGUUUGUUUGUGUGUUUUGGAGCUGCAGAUCUCUCCUCUCGCCACACUAUUGUCAGGCCUCCAAAAAAAAUGUGGUUCUUCUAAAUGAGAUACGUUAUUAGCCCCGUGUGGAACAUCAUCUUCAUCAACUGCUUUUAAACAGGAGGGAUUGACGCAUCUGUUUUUAUAGUGCUUCAUUUUGAAGUGCAGUCCUUUAGUCACUUUGCAGACAGUCUGCAGUGAACAGUCACCACAGUGCAGAGGAUAAUUCACAAUUAUGAAAAAGAAAAGGAUUUAGAAUUCAAAGAGGGCGAUAAUGAAAAACUGUACUGUCUUUCGCCAACAAACAAUCCAGUCAUGAGGGUUCAUCCUCUGUGCACCAUCAGGAUCAGGAAUCAGGAAACAUUUAUUGCCAAAAUAUGUCAAACAUACAAGGAAUUUGUCUUGGCGGUUGGUGCGUGACAGUAGACAGACAAGACAACAGUGCACAAGUAAUAAAAUAAAAUGAAAUGCUAAUGCAAUGGGUUAGUAGAAUAAAGCUAUGGGUUAGUAAAAAAUAAUAGUAAACAAAUAGUACAUUUUUUUUUAAAUAAGUUUAAAAUUAAAAAUAUUAACAUAAAGUUAAAUGUGUCUAUCGCCCGAAGUUGGCUGGGAUGGACUCCAGCCCCCCCGCGACCCUGUGUGCAGGAUAAGCGGUUUGACAAUGGAUGGAUGGAUAAAGUUAAAUAUUAAGCAUAAAGUGCACUAGCGAACAAGUGACAAAGUGACGAGUGACGACAAAGUGAUAAAUGACAGUACAAAGGGGAGUGACCGGUGGAAUGUCAUAGUCAGUCAGUGAGGGACCGGCUCUGUUGAUGAGCCCGACUGCCGACGGGAAGAAACUGUUGGUGUGGCGGGACGUCUUAGUCCUGAUGGACCUCAGCUUCCUGCCAGAUGGAAGGGGCACAAACAGUUUUUGUCCGGGGUGGGAGGGGUCGGCCACGAUCUUUUUAGCUCGCUUCAGAGACCUGGAAGCGAACAAGUCCUGCAGGGACGGCAGAUUGCAGCCGAUCACCCUCUCUGCUGAGCGGAUGACAUGAAUAUCAAACGUUAUGACAGUCGAUCCCCAAUGAGCGGUGGACCCCCCAGGUGUCAUUUCCAACGCUAGAGCCAUUUUACAAGCGUGGCUAAAAUGAACUAUACUAUCUAUCAAUAUUUAAUUCCAGAGACACAGUUGCUGAACUUUUACGUUUUGAACAGAAUUUUUUUUUUUAAUUUGAGGCAUGUUUGUGACAGUAAGAGCAAAAACAUCUUUGAGAAAAUAAAAAAGAAUCUUUGCUCGAGUCCUGAAUAUAUAUCAAGCCAAUCCAGUUGGAAGCAAACCACGAGAUCCAAGUUGUAAACACUCUGCGGCUUAAGUGAAGAAAUAAACACAUCUUUGGGAUCACAAUACGUCACUCAGCCAGCGUCCUCGCCCCAUUUUAAGUAAACAUUUCAACACCAGUGGAAAGCCUGUUGGCUGUGUGAAGCCCCGCCCCUCCCCAGGAGGAACAUAUGGCAAGAUGAUGAAGCAGGAUUUAGAAAUAAAGAAAAUACACCAAUGAAUGGGCCUAAAAACAUACAGCAAUAAUCCCGCUACACUUAGAAGUCCAGGGGAUUGAUGAGUCUGCUUUUCCGAGUGCUAUCAGCUGAAGAUACUGUAUACAGUGUGAUCGGCUGCAUUUGAAUUAAAGCAUUAAUUCAGGGGUACUAAACCAACCUAGCCCGUGUGCGAACAUGAUAAACCAAUGCCUUCAAUUGAGCUGACAGCCAGCAGCGCGUCAGCAUCUCAUAUCGACCCCCGAGGACGACCGUGAUUCCAGAACAAACUAAUAUUAUGGGAAUGCACUUUGAAUCGGUAAACUGCAAAACACCUGCAAAUCAAGGUGCUGCAAAUAUAUAUAUACAAAAAAAAAGCAGAAUGGAAAAUGCAGAUGUGACAGUUGAACUUUGGAGAAAUUAGGUGAUACGUUUAAAAGGUGUCAACCAGUUACAAUACAUAGUAAGUUAGAUAGUAGUUCUUGAUCCAAAACAACAAAGCAGCGAGGAAAUAAAGUAGUUGAAGAAACCCAUUUCCUUCAAGUAAAUGUGGAUGAUUAGAGUUCAUCUUUGAAAUAGUAAAUACCAGCAAUCACACAUAAUG